RNAcentral lists this microRNA precursor (97 nucleotides) under Egretta garzetta (little egret). Its description in RNAcentral is "mir-490 microRNA precursor family". It matches the Rfam family "mir-490 microRNA precursor family". The record is from Rfam by way of RNAcentral. Lineage: Eukaryota; Metazoa; Chordata; Aves; Pelecaniformes; Ardeidae.
UCAUAAGUUCAUGGUUCGACACCAUGGAUCUCCAGGUGGGUCAAGGUUAUAGAGAUACACCAACCUGGAGGACUCCAUGCUGUUGAGCUGUUCAUAA